Molecule: ribosomal RNA, 961 nt
Filed under: Craterellus caeruleofuscus
Lineage: Eukaryota; Fungi; Basidiomycota; Agaricomycetes; Cantharellales; Hydnaceae
Description: partial large subunit ribosomal RNA
Rfam family: Eukaryotic large subunit ribosomal RNA
Source: RNAcentral
AAGCAUAUCAAUAAGCGGAGGAAAAGAAACUAACAAGGAUUCCCUCAGUAACGGCGAGUGAAGAGGGAAGAGCUCAGUUUUGAAAUCUGGCAGUGAUUCACUGUCCGAGUUGUAAAUUGAAGAGAAUGUCAUCCACGCUGGACCACGUCUAAAUUGUAAUGAUCCACAGUCCUUUGAUGGAGUAUCAGAGAGGGUAAUAAUCCCGUCUUUAACGUGGACUGCCAGUGUUUUAUGUGAUGCACUCUCUCAGAGUCGAGUAGUUUGGGAAUGCUGCUCUAAUGGGAGGUAAACUCCUUCUAAAGCUAAAUAUUGGCGAGAGACCGAUAGCGAACAAGUACCGUGAGGGAAAGAUGAAAAGAACUCUGAAAAGAGAGUCAAAUAGAACGUGAAAUUGCUGAAAGGGAAGCGUUUGGAGUCAGACGCGUCUUCAUGCAAUACAACUCAGUGGCAGAGACUUGAGACAAGUUACUUGAAGACGGGCCAGCACUCACGAAGACCAUUGAAGAAGGGAUCAUGGAAUGUAGCUCAGUGCUGAGUGAUUAUAGCCUUGAUUCAGAAGUAAUGUGUCCUUUGUGAGAGAUGGACAGCACGACAUAGUUCAGUGCUUGAUUGACUGGCAUAAUGGCUCUAAGCGACCCGUCUUGAAACACGGACCAAGGAGUCUAACAUGUAUGCGAGUAUUAGAGUGAUUGAAACUCUGAAUGCGCAAUGAAAGUGUUUUUGACUGAGAAUCCUGUUGGAGGCAUCAGUACCCCGAGUCUGUUAGUCUUUGACUAAAGAUUUGGAGGUAGAGCAUAUAUGUUGGGACCCGAAAGAUGGUGAACUAUGCCUGAAUAGGGUGAAGUCAGAGGAAACUCUGAUGGAGGCCCGUAGCGAUUCUGACGUGCAAAUCGAUCGUAGAAUUUGGGUAUAGGGGCGAAAGACUAAUCGAACCAUCUAGUAGCUGGUUCCUGCCGAAGUU